This 854-nucleotide ribosomal RNA is filed under the name Pseudomonas sp. RNAcentral's name for it is "bacterial SSU rRNA". It matches the Rfam family "Bacterial small subunit ribosomal RNA", at positions 62 to 915 of the family's 1533-position model. Lineage: Bacteria; Pseudomonadati; Pseudomonadota; Gammaproteobacteria; Pseudomonadales; Pseudomonadaceae. The record is from RNAcentral.
UCGAGCGGUAGAGAGCUUGCUUCUCUUGAGAGCGGCGGACGGGUGAGUAAUGCCUAGGAAUCUGCCUGGUAGUGGGGGAUAACGUUCGGAAACGAACGCUAAUACCGCAUACGUCCUACGGGAGAAAGCAGGGGACCUUCGGGCCUUGCGCUAUCAGAUGAGCCUAGGUCGGAUUAGCUAGUUGGUGAGGUAAUGGCUCACCAAGGCGACGAUCCGUAACUGGUCUGAGAGGAUGAUCAGUCACACUGGAACUGAGACACGGUCCAGACUCCUACGGGAGGCAGCAGUGGGGAAUAUUGGACAAUGGGCGAAAGCCUGAUCCAGCCAUGCCGCGUGUGUGAAGAAGGUCUUCGGAUUGUAAAGCACUUUAAGUUGGGAGGAAGGGCAUUAACCUAAUACGUUAGUGUUUUGACGUUACCGACAGAAUAAGCACCGGCUAACUCUGUGCCAGCAGCCGCGGUAAUACAGAGGGUGCAAGCGUUAAUCGGAAUUACUGGGCGUAAAGCGCGCGUAGGUGGUUUGUUAAGUUGGAUGUGAAAUCCCCGGGCUCAACCUGGGAACUGCAUUCAAAACUGACUGACUAGAGUAUGGUAGAGGGUGGUGGAAUUUCCUGUGUAGCGGUGAAAUGCGUAGAUAUAGGAAGGAACACCAGUGGCGAAGGCGACCACCUGGACUAAUACUGACACUGAGGUGCGAAAGCGUGGGGAGCAAACAGGAUUAGAUACCCUGGUAGUCCACGCCGUAAACGAUGUCAACUAGCCGUUGGAAGCCUUGAGCUUUUAGUGGCGCAGCUAACGCAUUAAGUUGACCGCCUGGGGAGUACGGCCGCAAGGUUAAACUCAAAUGAAUUGACG